Molecule: long non-coding RNA, 8902 nt
Filed under: Setaria viridis
Lineage: Eukaryota; Viridiplantae; Streptophyta; Magnoliopsida; Poales; Poaceae
Description: long non-coding RNA (SVIR_LNC002149)
Source: RNAcentral
CACCCUAUCUGAAUCUGUAUUUUGGAAAAGCUUAUCAUGCUUACUCUACUAUGUAUUUAGUCGAACCCUGCUUAAUCUUGCCGUGUGGCAUAGCCCCGACCCACUACCCUCGCCAAACAUGGCCAAUAUGGUGUGUGUAAUGUUAGGUCAAAAUCCUUUUUAUUUAAGUGUAUAUUUGUUUGCCUUAAAGAGGAGUGUAUUGUCCUUUUCGGUUUGUGAUGCGUAUGAAAUAAACAAAAUUGUUUGUGUUUGGCACUUCAUGCCUUUUGACGGUCAGUUUCUUGAUCAUGAUCCAAAGAAGCUUUCUUGGUCAGUUUAUCUCACAUCUAAUUAAAUGGCUCCCAAAUAGCUAUUGCUACUAGGACGAUUCUUCGGACUACAUAUCACUCAAUUUCAAUUUUCAUCUGAGUGAGUUUGGAGCCUACGAAUUCAGAUGAUUUUUCGCGAGAGUAGUCCUCUUUUUCUUAGGUGGUGAUGAAACCAUCCCUUCGUAGGAAUCAGGGCCACCGGUUUCGAGAAUUUUAGCAUCACAAUUCACACACGAAGUCUCGCUGCCCUCCCUUCCUUGGUGGUCAGCCCAUAUAGAAUUUUUCAUGGCCCAUAAAAGGACUUUCGAACUCCUCGAGGGUUGGGUUCGAGCAUAGGAUGUUUCCAUGGCCCAAAUCUUCCCGUUAGCAACCUUCUUCUGUCAGUAGCUUCUCCUCUCGCGUUAAUAGCACAACCAUCAGUUGUUGAUAGCAGGUCAAGUACCAUCACUCUGUUAAUAGCAGGUCAAGCAGUGUGACGGAAACGCACGAAAUAAAAAGUCCCCAACAUGGCCGCGUGCACCCGUGUCAAGUCUCCUCCCGUCGAGAUCACGAGACUCCGCGUGAGACCGAUCCGCGCUCAUGGCCGGUGCUGACAAAUCGCGGUAGCUUGGCGUGAUCAAAAGCACCAGGUACGGUUACUGAUGCAUGCGAUACGAUUUGCCAGAUCGCUCACGGCCGUGCACUAGUUUUCUACCCUCCCGUGCCUCUCGUCAUAUUGUCCUUCCGCGCGUCGAGGCCUUUCGUUUCUCACCGCCAGCGGCCGCUGACGCGGUGCGUGUGCUUGUGUUUUCUUCUCUGCCUGCAGGUCGUUACCAACUUGGAAACCGCCAGCGAUCAUUGACAACGACUCCGAGGGUCGAACGCGUGAGCUCGUAAUAACAGGCAGGACGCUGAAUGCUCACCCUCAUCAGCCUCAGCCACACCGUUUGAAUCUUUCAACCAUCCGUGUGGAUUGCUAACGCUAAUUGUUGUCAUCGAUGGACAUGUUUUAAAAGCGAAAACAACGUGAAACCAAGCAGGAUCGGAGGAGUUGCCCCGGUCAGUUACGCUUGCGCGUGGGGGUGCGUGCCCUCUGACCACCCUGGCCCCAGCGGCAGCCACCCAACGAGCCAAAGGCCAUGUCAUUCCGUCAACAUCCGCCGCACCAUUUUCCUCUCCAACUCCCCCUACCCAAAAGCCCACGAACUUUCCCAGGCUCCUUCCGCACACCCAACACGCGGCCAAGCACCCGGCGGCACCCCUACAAAUACGCCCCCGCCCACCACGUUCCCGAUCGAAAACCAUCAAACCCCACCGUGCCCAUCCCCCGAAAACCCCACAAACCACCGAGCCCCAGAACGAUAUCCUCCGAUCCCCCAAACCACCGCCUCCCAGUCUCAACCAUGGCGUUCCGGCUGAGCAACAACCUGAUCGGGAUCCUGAACGCGGUGACCUUCCUUCUCUCCAUCCCGAUCCUGGGCGCGGGCAUUUGGCUGGGCCACCGCGCCGACGGCACCGAGUGCGAGCGCUACCUCUCGGCGCCCGUAAUCGCGCUGGGGGUCUUCCUCCUCGUCGUCUCCAUCGCGGGGCUCGUCGGCGCCUGCUGCCGCGUCACCUGGCUGCUCUGGGUCUACCUCCUCGCCAUGUUCGUCCUCAUCGUCGCCCUCUUCUGCUUCACCGUCUUCGCCUUCGUCGUCACCAACCGGGGCGCCGGGGAGGCCGUGUCGGGCCGGGGGUACAAGGAGUACAGGCUUGGGGACUACUCCAACUGGCUGCAGAAGCGGGUGGAGAACAACAAGAACUGGAACAGGAUCAGGAGCUGCCUCCAGGGCUCCAAGGUCUGCAAGAACCUGCAGGACAAGAAGGAGUCGGUCACCGACUUCAUGCGUUCCGACCUCUCCCCGAUCGAGGUACUUGCUUAAUUACGUGAAAAAUGCAUUUUUCUUCCCUUAAUCUUCAGUCUCAGUUUUUUUUUUGACAAAUCACCAAGACAGAUUCUAAAACAAACUCUAUCUAUCUGUAGCCGGCGUUUUGUCUUACAGAAAAAGAAUACUUCUUUUUCAUUCACGUGUCAUUCAUACUUUAGUGGUCGCGAAUUGCGAUGUGACUUUGGGAGGAUAGUAGUAAUGCCAAAAGACUUUGAAGAAACGGUAGCUUGUGAAACGCAAAACCUUAUCUUAGGCCCGGCUGAUGGUUACUUGUACGGUUGUGCAUCUCGAUCAGACGUACACAAUUUGGAAUUCUGUCUAAAAAUGCAUUGGGCUUAGCGUUGAUAUUGUCAACGGAUUACUCCUAUUUUAUAGUGACAUAUCUUCGGUCCAUAUCAACCUUUACUACCUGCUCUGAAGUCUGAACUGCUCCCGAUGCUCUGACCGCUGCAUUAUUGAAGGAAGAAUUUUCGUUCAUCGCACAUGCUUGCAUUUCAACGCUCUGGUGCACUUGCACUCAACUUUUAGGUCGCGUAACCCAAUCGUUUCACGAAACGGCUCCACCUGAAACUAUCAUAGGGGGUGUUUGGAUGCGAGGUACUAAACUUUAGGAGAGGUCACAUCGGAUGUUCGGACGCUAAUUAGAAGGACUAAACAUGAGUUAAUUAUAAAACUAACUGCAGAACCCCUAUACUAAUUCGCGAGACGAAUCUAUUAAACAUAAUUAAUCCAUCAUUAGCAAAUGGUUACUGUAGCACCACAUGGACUAAUUAGGCUUAAUAGAUUCGUCUCGCAAAUUAUACUCCAUCUGUGCAAUUAGUUUUGUAAUUAGCUUAUGUUUAAUACUCCUAAUUAGUAUCAAACAUCCGAUGUGAUAGGUACUAAAGUUUAUGAGGGAGUUGCCAAACACCCCCAUAAACAACUGAAACUGUUUUAUUUACUUGUAGUAUUUACCUAAACAACGUCAUGUGAUGUUGAAAGUUCCCAGUCAUGAGUAUUGAGUAGUAGCCCUGCAUAUGUGCUGCUCUGUUUCAAAGGCUCAUCGCUGUUCUUGUUGCUCGUGCAGUCUGGGUGCUGCAAGCCCCCCACCAGCUGCGGCUUCACCUACGUCAGCGGCACGGACUGGACCAAGACCACCGCCACCAACUCGUCGUCGGAUCCGGACUGCAACACCUGGAGCAACGAUGCGCUCUGCUACGACUGCCAGUCGUGCAAGGCCGGCGUGGUGGCCACCGUCAAGCGGGACUGGAAGCGCACCGCCAUCGUCUGCAUCGUCUUCCUCGUCUUCAUCAUCAUCGUCUACUCCAUCGGAUGCUGCGCUUUCAGGAAUAACCGCAGGGACAAUGCCUACCACGGCGGCUGGAAGGGCGGGUACGCCUGAUCUGGUCGAUCCACCGUCGUUUCGGAGCCUAGCAGACGAGAUCCGCUGCUCGAUUGGUCGAGCGUGCCAGCUCAGUGCUCUGCUCUCGCUGUCCUGCGGUCGCUUUCGUCCUAUAUGUUUAGGCUUCAUCUAGCUCUGUACAGUCGAGGUUGUUACAGCUUCUUAUCGUCUGCUAGUCACUUUGUUAUGAUCUGAUCACUGGUCAGCAGUAGGUUUUGUACAUGCUGUUCGUUGAUUUUGAUAUACUGCUCUAUAUUCGUAUGUGGAUGCCUUUAUUCUACAUGUUACUUUGGUGAAGGCUUUUCGGUUUUCCACUUUCUUUCCAAAACUUCUUCGCUUGACACGAAACAACGAGAUCUUUGCUUGACACGGCAGAGGAUUAGCUAGUCCCAUUUUUUUAAGAGAGAGAGAGAGAGAGAGAGAGAGAGAGAGAGAGAGAGAGGAUUAGCUAGCUAAUUUCUACUCUUUCCAGCGAUCUCUGUCAAUCUUUACUCUGUUUUCUUGCCAUGAUAUCACCAACCUGAAGUUGUUGAGCUAAUCACCAUUUCGGACGGGUUGCACAAAACUAUUGCACUUAUCCCCGUCCUGCACUGCACACAAAGUAGCACACGGUUCUGCUACUGACCGUCCCCGAUGAAGUAAUCCAAGAAAGGGUGGGAGACGAAGGCUCCAAGUCUUGAGCCAUGACGAAGCGAUAGGAAAGCUGUGGUGCCCCAUGAGAGGCAAGUGCAGCCUAACGUGCCGUCUGAAAAUAUCCACCCCUUCCCACUUUCACUGCCCAGGUUCCGAAAACAACUCCGGGCACCACCAUCUUGCUUUGUCGUCUUCGGUGUACGAUUCUUUCCUAUCAACCUAAUGGUCAUGCUUAACACGGGACUAUGUCCUUGGCAUCUUCCUUGUCAGAUGAGAAAUAUCUUAGCGAUGGCAGCAGAUAUUAGACAGUGAUAGAUCGAUGGAUGGUCCAGCCAAUGAAGGCUCGGCAGAUUGUUACGGGCACCAAUAUCAGGUUCCAAAAGGAUGCUAAAACUUGAAUGGAUCGAGAAAGGUGUAACUUCAGUGGAGUCCAUGAGCACAUGGGCUGAUGACUUGAUGUAGGCGCAAAUGUGUAAAUCCGUAAAUGCGCUUGCUGUUCCUAGUGGAGUUACUGGUUCCAGAAGUGGUGGUGACUAUUGCUGGUUCGCCUGGAAAUAUCCAAGGGGACUGACUGGGGCCAGCGGCUUGGUCCUUUCAGAGAAUGAAGUGAUAGAGCCGGCAUUAUAUUGCUCGAUGGACUAUUUCACUAGAAAAUGCUCUAUGAAAUGAAUUUGAGAGGAACUUUGCCCACCCAAAUUUCUUAUUUUGUUUUUCCUUGCAAUACUCUUCUAUAAGUAUUGUAAACUAGAGAAGACUUGCAGGUUGUGCAUUGGACUGUUACCGCAACAGGGCAGCUAGAUAGCUUAAAGCCUUAAACAUAGCUAAUUUUCAAUCGCUUUUCAAAGGUUAUAUGUUAACGUGAAACAUUCAACUACCAUUAGUACAACUUAAACACGACAUUCUCCAGUGUAUUAUAAAAAAACCCAGCAUGUUUGAGUAUUUUCAUUGAUCGCGUUCUUAGAUAACAACGGUUCAGAAAGGUUAGUUUGUACUGUGUGAUUCGGCAUAAAAAAAAGAUUAGUUUGGCACUCUAAUCUUACACAAACAAUCUGCAUUUUAGGUCCAUUUACGUUUGGAGUUGCUAGAAUUGGUAGUCAUUAUAUUGCUUUUUUGCAUCUCAGCUUUACAUAACGGCACGGCAUACAAAUCCGACAAUUGAGGCCAAUGAUUUGAUUUCUCAGAAAAUAAAGUGAGAGAUGUGGCAUUAUAUUGUUUGACGGAACAUUCUCUAGGAAAUGUUCUAUGACACCAUUAUUUUUUUUAAAAAAAAAUCUUGCCAACACAUGAUGCUUUGCCUUUUUUUACUGCAAUACUCUUCCAAAAAUCAUGAUUAGCUAGAAGAAGACUUGCAGGUUGUGCAUUGGACUAUUUUUUGGUAAUAGGAUAGUUGAAUAGUAUGGAAGCAGAUCAUUUUUAAUUCCUUUGGAAAGCUUGACACUAGCAUGAAACAUUGCAACUAUCGCUAGCAUGCCUAAAAUGAAAUGCAGUUCUCCAGUCUAUUCUUGAAAAAUAAAAUUAGUAUUAUGCAGAUAGAAAAGGAUAAAGAAAAAGAAAAUCAGCAUGUCUGAGUAUUAGCAUUACCAUUGUCAGAAACAGCGAGUCUGAAAGAUGGUAAAACUUGAAUGAACUGAGAAUGGUGUAACUUCAAUGGAAUCCAUGAGCACAUGGGCUGAUGACUUGAUUAGGCCCACAUAUGUUAAUCAGUAAACGCGAUUGCUGUUACUAGUGGAGUUACUGACUCCAGAAGUGGUGGUGACUGUUGCUGGUUCGCUUGGAAAUAUCCAAGGUGACUGGGACGGGACCGACGGUUUGGUCUUUUCAGAAAUGAAGUGACAGAGCUGGCAUUAUAUUGCUCGAUGGAAUAUUUCACUAGAAAAUGCUCUAUGACAUCAGUUUGAGAGGAACUUUACCUGCACAAAAUUUUUCUUUUGUGUUCGCUUUGCCAUACUUUUCUACUAUUAUUGUAAACUAGAAAGACCUGUAGUAGAAGGUUGUGCAUUGGACUGUUUCAGCAACAGGCCAGCUAGGUAGCUUAAGCAUAGCCAAUUGUCAAUCCUUUUUUCUUUUUUGAGCAAGCCAAUUGUCAAUUCUUCCUAAGAUUAGCGACUACUAGUAUACACCUACCAUUAGUAUGCCCAAAAGGAUACACUGCUCAGCAUAUUAGUAUGUCUGAAACAAUACACAUGAAACAUUUAGCGACUACUAGCAUGUCUCAAUAUUUCCAUUGAUCAGCGUUAAGAUAAUAAUGGUUCUGAAAUCUUUUGUGGUGUUGCACUCUACUCUUACACAGAUAUAACAUGCAUCUUCGAUUCGUUGGUGUUUGCAGUGACUAGAAGCGAGUCUGUCCCCUCACACUUUGCAUCAUCUGCUUUGCUAACAGCAUGGCAUACGAUCUGAGAAAUGAGACGAAUUUGUUUGAUUUUUUAGAAAGCGAAGCGAGGGGACCGGCACUAUAUUGUUUGAUGGAACGUUCCACUAGGAAAUGUUCUAUGACGUCAAUAUUUUAAAAAAACUUUGCCAAGAAACAAUGCUUUGUUUUUAAAAUACUGAAAUUACUCUUGAAAAAGUCAUUAUUAACUAGGGAAGACUUGCAACCUUGCAGGUGAUGCCUUGGACCAUUUUUGGUAAAUGAAAAUAUACCUCAAAUCUUAAUUCCUUUGGAAAGCUUUACACUGACAUGAAACAUCGCAACUAUCGCUAGCAUAUCUAAAAUGAUAUGCCGUUCUCCGGUGUAUCUUGAAGAAUAGAAUUAGCCUUACGUGAAAAGAAAAAAAAAGGAAAAAUGUAUUCAACGUGUCUGAUUAUUACUAUUACCGUUGUCAGGCUCAGGCAACAAUGGUUCUGAAAGAUUGGUCCGAGGCUCUAUCGAAACACCGAUACAGUCUGAAUCUACACCUCCUUUGGAACCACUAGAAUGGAUUGCCAGACUCUCGCUCUUCGCGUCAUCUGCUUUGCCCCACAGCACCACAUACAAGCCGACAAUGAUAGUGAUAGCUCCUAAUACGCUGCACGAAACAAAGUUCACUGUGAAGACGCACAAGAACAGCGAUUAUCUACUUUCCAAACAGGGUGCUAGUAUCAGAAUGAAGCAUACCUUCCAAUAUGGAGUUCUUCAUGCAGGAAGAGUGUAGAUAACAUUGCUGUGAUCACUGCACUCAGGGGCGUAAAGAUUGCGCUGUAAAGGGGGCCUUUCACUGAUAUGCACCAGGAUUGGAUGAAAAAGUUUGCGCCGGAGGCAAAUACUCCCUGCAAAAAUUGUUCGAUAAUUUCGAUUGAUGAGUAGCAAUUCAAAGUUUCAAACCAGUGUGUAGACGAACGAUCAAGAAUGGAUUCGGCUGAACUUACUCCAUAUAAGAUGCAGGGGAACUCCCAGAACGAGGUGAGCUUCCAAAUUUGCAAGUAGUUUGGCUCCAGGAAGAAGGCCAUCACCGCGCACUGCAAGGUCGCUAAAAAGCACAUCCAGGUCGCCAGAGACAGGGGAUCAAGGUACUUUUUGCAGACGGGCACCUAAAACCACACCAUCACUUGAUCAGUCACCUUAAACCCCAGCAAUAGCGCGUUGAAUCUUGCCGAUGCAGGGCGAUUGCAAGCAUCGCUGCAAUUAGUUACCUGGAAGAUGUACCAGAUGGCGACGCAGACAGCAUUUCCGACGAGAUAAACCCCUCCUUUCACCCAGUCGCUAGUCGGCGAGAGAAGAACCGCGCCGAGGAGCUUGGGACCCUUGAAGAACGCCAUGAACAUUGCUCCGGCGAGGCAGAUGGCGGUGCCGACGAUCUUGGCGACGCUUCUCAGGUUUCUGAUAUCCACCUUCUCUAACCUGUGAACCGAAUCGAAGGCGGGAGUAAGAAUUUGGGCCGCUGCUGCCUGCUGGGCGAGGUCACAAUUCUAAUUUCGAAUUUCGAAUUUUUUUAUUUUAUAUAUAUUUUUUUACAAAUUUGCAUAAAUAUACAGUCGAAUCAAAAAUUUGCAAAAAUGGGUAUCGCCAGAUGAGAUGGCAGUAGCGCCGCCCCCCUGCUGCAGGCUUGCUUCCACCCAUUUUGGACCGCGUGCCACCCAUUUUGCAUGUGGUGGUUCCUGCCACCCAUCAUUUCGGGCCCUAUGCUCCCUAUCACCGGUGGUGGUUCUCGCCCUGACGGUGGUCCAAUUGAUUACUGCAACAGCUAUUGAUAGGUCCAGCUUCGUGCAAGUAGCAGCACAGUGCAGCAUGCAUGCAUGAAAAGGCACGACCAGGGCAGCGGAAACCCAUUUUGCAAGGUGCUGGUGGUGUUGCAGGCUCUUUUUGGACCGCGUAAUGCGGAAUAUGUUGUUUCACUCGUUUGGAGCUGCGCAAGGUGGGUGAAGCCCUACCGCCGUUUCAAACGGCGGUAAUAAGGGUCCCACCGUCGUUUCAGCCGACAUACACCUAUUUUUGCAAAUUUUUUAUUCGACUAUAUAUUUGUGCAAAUUUGUAAAAAAAAUAUAAAAUAAAAAAAAUUCUAGAAUUUCUAAAUGGGCUGUUCUUGACGACAUUUAUUAAUUGGAGGUCUCUUGGCCCACGAAACAAAUAAGCCCAUAUGAAAGAAUUUAGCCUGGCCCAGUAGUCCCCCAAAACGCGAAGUGGUGGGCCCAACUUUCCGGUCAGAAAAGGGAAAAACACCUCUCAAAAAAAGAAAAGGGAAAAAACAAAAAUAAAA